CUUCCUUCUCAUUUCCUUUCAGCGUGUCAGAUAUCAUAGUUGAUGUUGUACAAUGGUCCGUUUCGCAGAGAGGUUGACUUGUCAUUGCCUUUGAAAAAAGUAUGGAACUGCACUCACUCCCAUCAAUCAGAGCCUGGGUACUUUCUGUGACCAGAACCAAACACCAGAUUCCCAGGAUCAAUGAAAUAAAAUAAAGGGGAUCCAGGCACUCCUUGGUUCAAUACAGGCACUUUAUUGGAACCACAGACCACAGACUUGUCAUUGCCGUGACAAUGGGGAGAGUGUAAGAGUUAAAGGGGUUGAUAGCAUGCAACCAAAUUUCCAAACGCUACCCUGCCACAGGGCACUAAAUUAUACCAACUGAUCACCCUCAUCAUACCUACAUCACCCCAGGUUAUCAUUUAUACGCAGCCCCCACCAUGACUUUAU
Molecule: non-coding RNA, 429 nt
Organism: Pelobates cultripes (western spadefoot toad)
Lineage: Eukaryota; Metazoa; Chordata; Amphibia; Anura; Pelobatidae
Source: the annotation of a GenBank genome assembly